RNAcentral lists this ribosomal RNA (813 nucleotides) under uncultured bacterium. Its description in RNAcentral is "bacterial SSU rRNA". It matches the Rfam family "Bacterial small subunit ribosomal RNA", at positions 59 to 916 of the family's 1533-position model. The record is from RNAcentral.
CAGUCGACGGGAUCUUCGGAUUCUAGUGGCGGACGGGUGAGUAACGCGUAAGAAUCUAACUUCAGGACGGGGACAACAGUUGGAAACGACUGCUAAUACCCGAUGUGCCGCAAGGUGAAACCUAAUUGGCCUGGAGAAGAGCUUGCGUCUGAUUAGCUAGUUGGUGGGGUAAGAGCCUACCAAGGCGACGAUCAGUAGCUGGUCUGAGAGGAUGAGCAGCCACACUGGGACUGAGACACGGCCCAGACUCCUACGGGAGGCAGCAGUGGGGAAUUUUCCGCAAUGGGCGAAAGCCUGACGGAGCAACGCCGCGUGAGGGAGGAAGGUCUUUGGAUUGUAAACCUCUUUUCUCAAGGAAGAAGUUCUGACGGUACUUGAGGAAUCAGCCUCGGCUAACUCCGUGCCAGCAGCCGCGGUAAUACGGGGGAGGCAAGCGUUAUCCGGAAUUAUUGGGCGUAAAGCGUCCGCAGGUGGUCAGCCAAGUCUGCUGUCAAAUCAGGUUGCUUAACGACCUAAAGGCGGUGGAAACUGGCAGACUAGAGAGCAGUAGGGGUAGCAGGAAUUCCCAGUGUAGCGGUGAAAUGCGUAGAGAUUGGGAAGAACAUCGGUGGCGAAAGCGUGCUACUGGGCUGUAUCUGACACUCAGGGACGAAAGCUAGGGGAGCGAAAGGGAUUAGAUACCCCUGUAGUCCUAGCCGUAAACGAUGGAUACUAGGCGUGGCUUGUAUCGACCCGAGCCGUGCCGAAGCUAACGCGUUAAGUAUCCCGCCUGGGGAGUACGCACGCAAGUGUGAAACUCAAAGGAAUUGACGG